Long non-coding RNA from Dreissena polymorpha, 966 nucleotides. RefSeq lists it as uncharacterized. The transcript is spliced from 9 exons. Lineage: Eukaryota; Metazoa; Mollusca; Bivalvia; Myida; Dreissenidae. The record is from RefSeq and is a predicted model, not a curated record.
CGACAAUGUGCUGAUUGUUGUCUCUCCACAGAUGAACUGUACAGGUGUUGUGAUUGCUGUUCAUGGGAGAUUACGUGCCUCACAUGCUUGCGGUUGAGGCAUAAACAUCCUCAUCUGCAUUUGGAAGAACAUGGCUUACCUUUCUUUCAUUGAUGAUGAUGAGGCUUGGAAAUUGAAUGACCAUUCCUGUAGCACUACUUACCUGAAAAAAACUCGUGGUCGUGGAUGAUAAAGGUCGACAGCAUUUGAAGACCCUGCAAUUUUGCAAGUGUGAAGUCGAAGCUGUACGCUUGAUUAGGUUCAACCUGUGGCCAUCUUCAACCAAAUUUCCAAAGGUGGCAUUUCACUUUGACUUCAUGCGCUGGUUAUGUGGUCUUCUUCUUGAAAGCUCGGUGUCAGUUAAAAGUUUCUGCUCCGCAUUAGACGCGAGGACCUCAAAGCACAUGAAGACAUAUAUUCAUCACCCUGUCAAAGAUUUGUACAAAGUGCUUGUAGGAGGAACAGCCGAUGAAUUUCGACAUUUUAUCUACCAAAUGGAAAACAUCCACGAUGAUGGAUCCAAAUGUCCAGCUUGUUAUGAGGAUUCUCCCUCCCUGAAUAGCUUGCUAGAGCAGAGGAUAUAGAAAAAUAAGCAAGGAGGCUCUUCAAGAAAUUUUGGAACCUUUUGCAGGAGUAACAACUGAAUGUCUACAGGAAUGGAUAGAUUAUGAGCGGGUUGUGUGUAUCCGCAGCAAAUCAACUGAAAAUCACUCCUUGUCACCUGCUGAAGAGUAUUGUCUAGUCCUGGAGGAGCUAACAAAAUACAGGGGUGUGUUUGCGACGGAUGUAAACAAAGAUAAGAAAAGGCUAGAGACAAAACUGAAAAAGAAAGGGAAGAAGGCUGGUGUCAAAUGGGAUUCAACAAAUGUUGAUUACCUGCGGACACUCAAGACUGCACAAGAGAAACUAAGACUUCAGAUACUGGAG